GCACAAGCGGUGGAGCAUGUUGGUUUAAUUCGAAGCAACGCGAAGAACCUUACCAGGUCUUGACAUCCCGAUGCUAUUUCUAGAGAUAGAAAGUUACUUCGGUACAUCGGUGACAGGUGGUGCAUGGUUGUCGUCAGCUCGUGUCGUGAGAUGUUGGGUUAAGUCCCGCAACGAGCGCAACCCCUAUUGUUAGUUGCCAUCAUUCAGUUGGGCACUCUAGCGAGACUGCCGGUAAUAAACCGGAGGAAGUGGGGAUGACGUCAAAUCAUCAUGCCCCUUAUGACCUGGGCUACACACGUGCUACAAUGGUUGGUACAACGAGUUGCGAGUCGGUGACGGCGAGCUAAUCUCUUAAAGCCAAUCUCAGUUCGGAUUGUAGGCUGCAACUCGCCUACAUGAAGUCGGAAUCGCUAGUAAUCGCGGAUCAGCACGCCGCGGUGAAUACGUUCCCGGGCCUU
Molecule: ribosomal RNA, 458 nt
Filed under: uncultured Streptococcus sp.
Lineage: Bacteria; Bacillati; Bacillota; Bacilli; Lactobacillales; Streptococcaceae
Description: bacterial SSU rRNA
Rfam family: Bacterial small subunit ribosomal RNA
Source: RNAcentral